UCUCCCUUUUCUCUUUCUUUUUUUUUUUCUUUUUUUCUUUUACAAUCUUUAAACUUUGAUUACUUCUCAACCGGUGAGAAUUUUUAGGUGUUGUUUGCAGCAAAUCAAAGAGCACGGCGAGAUCUACAAGUGGGUGUAAGCAAUUUCAGCUUUGGUGCACCCUAGGAUUUUCGAAAUCUAUGGUUCAAAUUGGGGGUUUUCAUCAUUUUGGAGGAUUUGAAAUUCUUAAGUGAAGAGGAGAAAGGGAUGACAUAGAUGAAGGGAAAAGAUGGUGAUGUUAAGGUCACUGUGGUUGAUCCAAAGGGUAAACAUUAUAACAUGACAUUGAAGAGGUGGGCACAUUCUCCUCUCGUUCUUAUUAAUGAGUGGAAAGAUUUGGUUCGGAAUAACCAACUUGAAGUAGAACGUGAUUGCAUUGAAUUAUGGAGCUUUCGAGUUAAUUCUCAGUUGCGUUUUGCUGUUAAUAUCAAGUGAUCGAUCAUCAUCAUGCUCAUGCCAGUGUAUAUAUAUAUACAAGUACACGUAGUCUCCAAUUAUUGUGUUUCUUGUUUUCUUCUAGUUUUUCUUUUCCUUUCUUUAUGAUUUUACUACGCAGGAACUUAGGGUAUGUAUUUCUCCAUUGACUAUUGAAUACCGGCCAGUCAUGACCAUCACUGUUCUCAAAAUAACUAUCUAUCAAUGGAAGUCCAUGUACAAAUUAAGUGGUACUAGGUUUAUAUAUAAUAUGCCUGUGGAAUUCCUUUUCUUUU
Molecule: long non-coding RNA, 749 nt
Organism: Cornus florida
Lineage: Eukaryota; Viridiplantae; Streptophyta; Magnoliopsida; Cornales; Cornaceae
Exons: 2
Source: RefSeq, a predicted model, not a curated record